Molecule: non-coding RNA, 404 nt
Organism: Pelobates cultripes (western spadefoot toad)
Lineage: Eukaryota; Metazoa; Chordata; Amphibia; Anura; Pelobatidae
Source: the annotation of a GenBank genome assembly
UGUGUGUGUGUCAGUAUGGAUCAAUGUGUCAGUAUGGAUCAAUGUGUGUGUGUGUGUGUGUGUGUGUCAGUAUGGAUCAAUGUGUGUGUGUGUCAGUAUGGAUCAAUGUGUCAGUAUGGACAAUGUGUGUGUGUCAGUAUGGAUCAAUGUGUCAGUAUGGAUCAAUGUGUGUGUGUGUGUGUGUCAGUAUGGAUCAAUGUGUCAGUAUGGAUCAAUGUGUGUUUGUGUGUGUGUGUGUCAGUAUGGAUCAAUGUGUCAGUAAGGAUCAAUGUGUGUGUGUCAGUAUGGAUCAGUGUGUGUGUGUGUGUGUGUCAGUAUGGAUCAGUGUGUGUGUCAGUAUGGAUCAAUGUGUCAGUAUGGAUCAAUGUGUGUGUGUGUGUGUGUGUCAGUAUGGAUCAAUGUGU